Molecule: ribosomal RNA, 496 nt
Filed under: uncultured bacterium
Lineage: Bacteria
Description: bacterial SSU rRNA
Rfam family: Bacterial small subunit ribosomal RNA
Source: RNAcentral
GAUUAACGCUGGCGGCGUGCAUAACACAUGCAAGUCGAACGAUGAAACUUAAAUGAUUUCUUCGGAAUGAUUUUAAGUGGAUUAGUGGCGGACGGGUGAGUAACGCGUGAGUAACCUGCCUUAGAGAUGGGGAUAGCCUCUGGAAACGGAGAAUAAUACCCAAUGAUACUAAGCUAUCGCAUGGUAGCCUAGUCAAAGAUUUAUCGCUCUAAGAUGGACUUGCGUCUGAUUAGCUAGUUGGUGAGAUAAUGGCUCACCAAGGCAACGAUCAGUAGCCGGCUUGAGAGAGUGUACGGCCACAUUGGGACUGAGACACGGCCCAGACUCCUACGGGAGGCAGCAGUGGGGAAUUUUGCACAAUGGGGGAAACCCUGAUGCAGCGACGCCGCGUGAUUUAGAAGGCCUUCGGGUUGUAAAAAUCUUUUGUAUAGGAAGAAAAUGACAGUACUAUACGAAUAAGGACCGGCUAAUUACGUGCCAGCCGCCGCCGUAACAC